AUUGAACGCUGGCGGCAUGCUUUACACAUGCAAGUCGAACGGCAGCGGGGAGGAGCUUGCUUCUCUGCCGGCGAGUGGCGAACGGGUGAGUAAUACAUCGGAACGUGUCGAGAAGAGGGGGAUAACCACCCGAAAGGGUGGCUAAUACCGCAUAAAUUCUGAGGAAGAAAGCUGGGGACCUAGGAAUAGGCCUAGCGCUUUUUGAGCGGCCGAUGUCGGAUUAGCUAGUUGGUGAGGUAAAGGCUCACCAAGGCGAAGAUCUGUAGCGGGUCUGAGAGGAUGAUCCGCCACACUGGGACUGAGACACGGCCCAGACUCCUACGGGAGGCAGCAGUGGGGAAUUUUGGACAAUGGGGGCAACCCUGAUCCAGCCAUGCCGCGUGUAUGAAGAAGGCCUUAGGGUUUUAAAGUACUUUUGUUAGGGAAGAAAAGUCAGCUGUGAAUAAUGGCUGAUACUGACGGUACCUAAAGAAUAAGCACCGGCUAACUACGUG
RNAcentral lists this ribosomal RNA (494 nucleotides) under uncultured bacterium. RNAcentral describes it as "partial 16S ribosomal RNA". It matches the Rfam family "Bacterial small subunit ribosomal RNA", at positions 30 to 507 of the family's 1533-position model. The record is from RNAcentral.